AAAUGAAAUUCGCUUUUGCAUUUUGUUUGGUUUGUGGCCUGUUUGCAAUUACUUUGGGUCACAAGCAACACGUUUGACACCUGCGACUGCUGCAACUCUCUAAAAUUAUCUAAACUAACUGCAAAAUGAAAUUGGCUAUUGCAUCUUACUUGACCUUUAGCUUAUUUGAAAUUGUUUUUGGCCGCGAAAAGGUUAGGCACGCUUAUUGCCUGCUUGAACCUGCCGUUAGGGGUGGCUGCAAUGAGGUGCAGAAUUUGUGGACAUUUUAUUCCGAAGAAAAUGAGUGUCGAUUGUUUCCGUUUAACGGAUGCUUUGGGAAUUCCAAUCAGUUCCAGACACUGGAAAUAUGCGAAGACCGUUGUAUGUCUCCCAAAAGAAAAUCAAUAACUGAAAAACCUGCAUCUGCGGUUUUCUUAUGAGUAUACACAGAAUAAAUUCAAAAUACAAAG
Molecule: RNA transcript, 449 nt
Organism: Drosophila hydei
Lineage: Eukaryota; Metazoa; Arthropoda; Insecta; Diptera; Drosophilidae
Gene name: kunitz-type serine protease inhibitor HMGS1-like
Exons: 3
Source: RefSeq, a predicted model, not a curated record